AGUUCGCUUUCCGGCUUGAGAAUGCGUUCUCUGUAGUGUGACUUGGAGCAUCUUUUCUAGGAAGUAAACGCGUCCUAAUUUGAGACGCGGACUUUCCGGCAUUGCUGUAAAAGCUUCCGGCGCUACCUGGCUGUAAAUACUCUGUAUCUGACGCCGUGUCGCCCACGAAGGCGAUCAGGUUUAGAAAUAUCCAGAGGGAUCUUACGGUAACCUACAUCAGCCCGCCAAGAUGGCGAUGCAAGCGGCUAAGAGGGCGAAUGUGAGUACCCCGCUUUCUGCGUGACAGGGAAGCGAUGUUGUUGCUUGACUGUUGCUGCGUGCCUGGGGAGCGUUUUUUGUCCCUCCGCCCAUAGUUGGGGAAGCUUGUUAUCAGUUCUGUCAAAGGAGGUUCUGUCCUGGGCUCGUCCUCAGGGGUGUGUUCUUUGAGCGACUUUUCGCCCCACCCCUAUUGAGAGCCCCCUGGCAUCAGUGACCUCGUAACGCCUAGGACCAGGCGUUAGGCUCUUCUGAGUCCAAAAAGACAUACGGAGUAACUAUUUGGUUCCUUGCCAGCUGGAGCCUGGGAUUUUUCUCGAAUGUAGAACUUUGGGAAUCCUCUAUUAAUAUUAUGUAAGCACCUGCUUUGUCUCUUGUCUUACAAACGGGAAGCAAUUCAUCAGUUGGGUUUAUUCAACACUACUGUGUAAAGGACUAGUCGGGCUUAUGUUCUACUGUUGUCAGUGAGUGUUACCAAAACCUUUAAGG
RNAcentral lists this long non-coding RNA (744 nucleotides) under Mus musculus (house mouse). RNAcentral describes it as "long non-coding RNA chr12:4817560-4818304". The record is from RNAcentral. Lineage: Eukaryota; Metazoa; Chordata; Mammalia; Rodentia; Muridae.